Long non-coding RNA from Drosophila navojoa, 264 nucleotides. The record is from RefSeq and is a predicted model, not a curated record. Lineage: Eukaryota; Metazoa; Arthropoda; Insecta; Diptera; Drosophilidae.
CAGAAAAACACCAAACACGUAUCGAUAUGAGCAAUAUCGCGUUCCAAAAUAAGCAGCGAUACCUUGGAAAGUAUCGUCUUGAAGUUAUCGCUAAAGUUUACCUAUCGAUGUACAUCUUUUUUACAUGCUAACUACAUUGCUGUGAAGUCGCCGCUUUGAAAGCGUUUACGGGAAGAAGUGCAAAUUAAAAAUAAAAUUUUCAAUAAGUGCAAGUGUAUAGCCCAAGUGGGUUCAACAUUGAUUUGAAAUCAUGCCCAAACCGGA